RNAcentral lists this non-coding RNA (204 nucleotides) under uncultured Lacrimispora sp. RNAcentral's name for it is "Enterococcus sRNA 1300". It matches the Rfam family "Enterococcus sRNA 1300". From Rfam's summary of the family: Expressed in mid and late exponential phases of growth. Lineage: Bacteria; Bacillati; Bacillota; Clostridia; Lachnospirales; Lachnospiraceae. The record is from RNAcentral.
UCAGUUCGUUUAAGAUAAGCUGGCAAUAAAGAAGCAGUAAUAUCAUCCACGGUGGUGGGCUUUUUGUUGUGCUUAUUUUACGAAUUGAGACAUGGAUACGGGUGAAGUGUGACCAUAUAAGGUUAUACGUUUUUUACCAAUGUCUUUUAAACGUUAAAAUGCAGGCUAAAGCUCCCAUUGGGGAUUUUGGCCUGCAUUUUUUAU